GACGAACGCUGGCGGCGUGCUUAACACAUGCAAGUCGAACGGAAAGGCCCUGCUUUUGUGGGGUGCUCGAGUGGCGAACGGGUGAGUAACACGUGAGUAACCUGCCCUUGACCUUGGGAUAACUUCAGGAAACUGGGGCUAAUACCGGAUAGGAGCUCCUGCUGCAUGGUGGGGGUUGGAAAGUUUCGGCGGUUGGGGAUGGACUCGCGGCUUAUCAGCUUGUUGGUGGGGUAGUGGCUUACCAAGGCUUUGACGGGUAGCCGGCCUGAGAGGGUGACCGGCCACAUUGGGACUGAGAUACGGCCCAGACUCCUACGGGAGGCAGCAGUGGGGAAUAUUGCACAAUGGGCGGAAGCCUGAUGCAGCAACGCCGCGUGCGGGAUGACGGCCUUCGGGUUGUAAACCGCUUUCGCCUGUGACGAAGCGUGAGUGACGGUAAUGGAUAAAGAAGCACCGGCUAACUACGUG
RNAcentral lists this ribosomal RNA (468 nucleotides) under uncultured bacterium. RNAcentral describes it as "partial 16S ribosomal RNA". It matches the Rfam family "Bacterial small subunit ribosomal RNA", at positions 28 to 507 of the family's 1533-position model. The record is from RNAcentral.